Molecule: non-coding RNA, 301 nt
Organism: Pelobates cultripes (western spadefoot toad)
Lineage: Eukaryota; Metazoa; Chordata; Amphibia; Anura; Pelobatidae
Source: the annotation of a GenBank genome assembly
CAGGCCAAUAUAGUGCAAAAAGUAAGUACGGUUAAUCUUUCAAGAUCGCCAAUAUACAAGGAUAUAGUCCAAAAUUCAUUUUAAGAAUUGUUAUAGAAUAGGCCUAGCAAUGCCACAUUUAAAAUAGUGCUGAACUAUUAGUGCAAUUUGUAGUCAACACAUCUAUAAUCUUGAUCCGAGGCUGUAUUGAGUGGUUGUGCAGUAGGGGCUCUCUGCAGUCAAGAUGCUCUGGACUUCACCCAUGAUUCUCAGCCAGGUACCAAUUACCAAUGGUCUCUAUCUGGGACUGCACCAAUAGUGC